Non-coding RNA from Salmo salar (Atlantic salmon), 204 nucleotides. The record is from RefSeq and is a predicted model, not a curated record. Lineage: Eukaryota; Metazoa; Chordata; Actinopteri; Salmoniformes; Salmonidae.
GGAGAAGAGCAGAAGACAGGUCCUUGAGAAGGGAGAGUGUGACACACUGUCAUGUCUGCGACAGCAGCAGCAGCAGAAAAAAAAGAAGGUGCAGUGGUAUGUAGGCUAUCCGACCUGUUCUCUCCCUCCUUCUCCUGGUUACCGUGGUUACGACCCCCUGACUGCCAGAGCAUCAGCACCUUGGCUUUAGACUGCUUACUGCUU